Molecule: long non-coding RNA, 651 nt
Organism: Talpa occidentalis (Iberian mole)
Lineage: Eukaryota; Metazoa; Chordata; Mammalia; Eulipotyphla; Talpidae
Exons: 4
Source: RefSeq, a predicted model, not a curated record
GACCCGCUUCCGCCCCGCAGGACCCGCCGCCGCGGUCAUGAGUCGCUUUAAGUUUAUAGAUAUUGGUAUCAACUUGACAGAUCCUAUGUUCAGAGGGAUUUAUAGGGGAGUUCAAAAACAUCCAGGUGAUACUUAGUGAAAGCUCUGAAUAUAGGGAGUGUUAGAUGCCACUUGAAAGAAGAAAGAUGACUUAGAGGAUAUAAUACAGAGAGCUGUCCAGAUUGGUGUAAAAAAGGUAACUCAGUUUUGUUACUCUUGAGAGCUUUUAAUAAUAAGUUCUGGUUAAAAUACUGCAGAAUAGAAGGGAAAGAGCCAUUGCCACACUUGGUAUUUGGAGAUAUACUGUCAACAUAGUGACAUUAGUAAGUUAAUGAAAUGAAAUGUCAAGAUAUUCUCUUCAAAGCAAUUUAAUUGACACAGACCUUAUGGGUAGUUCUUCCAUGUGAUCAGAAAUAAUGAUAAAUGACAAGGUCUCCGAAAAUUUUUUAAAAACGUAUGUGAAAUAGCAAGCUUCUUUUAAUAACAUCAUUUAGCAUGUUAGAAUUAAGUGGUCAUAAAAAGACAUGUAUCUCUCUCUAAGUUUAGCUUUUAUGGUGUAGGUAUACCAUUUAUGACCGAGAGGAUACUUUUAUUUUCAAAAUGAUGAUUUGA